Molecule: ribosomal RNA, 447 nt
Filed under: uncultured bacterium
Lineage: Bacteria
Description: SSU rRNA
Rfam family: Bacterial small subunit ribosomal RNA
Source: RNAcentral
AGAGCGAACGCUGGCGGCAGGCUUAACACAUGCAAGUCGAGCGGGCGUAGCAAUACGUCAGCGGCAGACGGGUGAGUAACGCGUGGGAACAUACCUUUUGGUUCGGAACAACACAGGGAAACUUGUGCUAAUACCGGAUAAGCCCUUACGGGGAAAGAUUUAUCGCCGAAAGAUUGGCCCGCGUCUGAUUAGCUAGUUGGUGGGGUAACGGCCCACCAAGGCGACGAUCAGUAGCUGGUCUGAGAGGAUGAUCAGCCACAUUGGGACUGAGACACGGCCCAAACUCCUACGGGAGGCAGCAGUGGGGAAUAUUGGACAAUGGGCGAAAGCCUGAUCCAGCCAUGCCGCGUGAGUGAUGAAGGCCCUAGGGUUGUAAAGCUCUUUGUGCGGGAAGAUAAUGACGGUACCGCAAGAAUAAGCCCGGCGUAACUUCGCGCCAGCAGCCGC